AUCGACCUAGGUUUUAAAGAGUUAAGCCAAGUUUUUUCUUUAUCUUUUAGAGAAAAAGGAAACAAUUUCAACUUAACAAUUUCGUUGGGGCAAGUUUGAUCGUUAAAUGGUGCACUUACUUCCUCAAAUUCUUUAAGAUGCAAAUAUGGACUUUCGGAUUCUAAGCCAUGAAAAUUAGGAAGUAAUGGAAUCAUACCCGGCUUGAAUCGAAAAUUAUUAGCAUUAAUAGGGAAAAUGAAACAUGAAGGAGUAGAAUUUCGAGGAGGUUGCAAGUAAUCACGCAUGGUUCGUGCUUGUUGGUUUUCAUUUUCAUCGUGUACGCUUUCAUUAUCAGCCAUGGUGGAAGAUGUGAGGGAGUGUUGAGGUGAGUCAAAUAAAUUACUAAAGAAAGUUUCACAAUUAUCUUUAACUAAACGAUGAGAAUUUAAUUCACGAUACCAAUAUGACAUAAAAUUACAAAAAGUAGAUAUGACGAACGAAAAUUAGGUGGCACGGCCAACCAUAUAAUAACGUAAAGAACAAAAAUUAGAUGGCAUAGCCAACCAUAUAACAAAGAAACGGCAGAUCGGGAGGCUCGGCCUUCCCUUUAAGGAAAGAAAAUAAAUAGAAAAUAAAAACGAAGGAGACUCGGCCUUCCUUUAAAGUAAAAUAACUAAAGUAAUAAGAUUGAAAAAGGAACGAGUGUACCUGACUUGUGAAGAUUAUGAAAGAGAAAAAAACCUCACAGAAAGUAGCAGAAAAUAAUCCUUUACGCAAAUCCCCGGCAACGGCGCCAAAAACUUGCUACAACUUUAAGGUUGCAAACCCAAGUGCAGGUUGUCGCAAGUAGUAAAUCUCGGAAGUUCGAGGUCGAACCACAGGGAAUUGGAAGGAAAUAAACUAUUCUAUGAGUAAUGAACGGUUGGUGAAAAUACGAUGAAGACAAACACUAGAGCGUUGGGGAUUCACUUCGGAUAAACGAGUAGAAAUUGCCCUUGAUCUUUAAUUUAACUCAUAUGAAAAUCAACUAAG
RNAcentral lists this long non-coding RNA (1011 nucleotides) under Olea europaea subsp. europaea. Lineage: Eukaryota; Viridiplantae; Streptophyta; Magnoliopsida; Lamiales; Oleaceae. The record is from RNAcentral.